CCUACGGGGGGCAGCAGUGGGGGAUAUUGCACAAUGGGGGAAACCCUGAUGCAGCGACACCGCGUGGGUGAAGAAGCGCUUCGGCGUGUAAAGCCCUAUCAGUGGGGAAGAAAAAGGACGGUACCCAAAGAAUAAGCCACGGCUAACUACGUGCCAGCAGCCGCGGUAAUACGUAGGUGGCGAGCGUUGUCCGGAUUUACUGGGUGUAAAGGGCGCGUAGGCGGGAAUGCAAGUCAGAUGUGAAAUCCAUGGGCUUAACCCAUGAACUGCAUUUGAAACUGUAUUUCUUGAGUGUCGGAGAGGUA
Molecule: ribosomal RNA, 305 nt
Filed under: uncultured bacterium
Lineage: Bacteria
Description: bacterial SSU rRNA
Rfam family: Bacterial small subunit ribosomal RNA
Source: RNAcentral